RNAcentral lists this ribosomal RNA (228 nucleotides) under uncultured bacterium. RNAcentral describes it as "partial 16S ribosomal RNA". It matches the Rfam family "Bacterial small subunit ribosomal RNA", at positions 103 to 334 of the family's 1533-position model. The record is from RNAcentral.
CGGGUGAGUAAUAUAUCGGAACGUACCCUGGAGUGGGGGAUAACGUAGCGAAAGUUACGCUAAUACCGCAUACGAUCUAAGGAUGAAAGCAGGGGACCGCAAGGCCUUGUGCUCCUGGAGCGGCCGAUAUCUGAUUAGCUAGUUGGUGGGGUAAAGGCCUACCAAGGCAUCGAUCAGUAGCUGGUCUGAGAGGACGACCAGCCACACUGGGACUGAGACACGGCCCAG